This 34-nucleotide small RNA is filed under the name Bombyx mori (domestic silkworm). Its description in RNAcentral is "ovarian small RNA-15037". Lineage: Eukaryota; Metazoa; Arthropoda; Insecta; Lepidoptera; Bombycidae. The record is from RNAcentral.
GAAAAUUGCCUUUAAAAGAUGAUGCUUCCAUCAG